RNAcentral lists this ribosomal RNA (496 nucleotides) under uncultured bacterium. RNAcentral describes it as "partial 16S ribosomal RNA". It matches the Rfam family "Bacterial small subunit ribosomal RNA", at positions 28 to 506 of the family's 1533-position model. The record is from RNAcentral.
GAUGAACGCUGGCGGCGUGCCUAAUACAUGCAAGUCGAGCGAACAGACGAGGAGCUUGCUCCUCUGACGUUAGCGGCGGACGGGUGAGUAACACGUGGAUAACCUACCUAUAAGACUGGGAUAACUUCGGGAAACCGGAGCUAAUACCGGAUAAUAUAUUGAACCGCAUGGUUCAAUAGUGAAAGACGGUUUUGCUGUCACUUAUAGAUGGAUCCGCGCCGCAUUAGCUAGUUGGUAAGGUAACGGCUUACCAAGGCAACGAUGCGUAGCCGACCUGAGAGGGUGAUCGGCCACACUGGAACUGAGACACGGUCCAGACUCCGACGGGAGGCAGCAGUAGGGAAUCUUCCGCAAUGGGCGAAAGCCUGACGGAGCAACGCCGCGGGAGUGAUGAAGGUCUUCGGAUCGUAAAACUCUGUUAUUAGGGAAGAACAAAUGUGUAAGUAACUAUGCACGUCUUGACGGUACCUAAUCAGAAAGCCACGGCUAACUACGU